This 498-nucleotide ribosomal RNA is filed under the name uncultured bacterium. Its description in RNAcentral is "partial 16S ribosomal RNA". It matches the Rfam family "Bacterial small subunit ribosomal RNA", at positions 30 to 523 of the family's 1533-position model. The record is from RNAcentral.
AUUGAACGCUGGCGGCAUGCCUUACGCAUGCAAGUCGAACGGUAACAGGUCUUCGGAUGCUGACGAGUGGCGAACGGGUGAGUAAUACAUCGGAACGUGCCUAGUAGUGGGGGAUAACUACUCGAAAGAGUGGCUAAUACCGCAUGAGAUCUACGGAUGAAAGCAGGGGAUCGCAAGACCUUGUGCUACUAGAGCGGCCGAUGGCAGAUUAGGUAGUUGGUGGGAUAAAAACUUACCAAGCCGACGAUCUGUAGCUGGUCUGAGAGGACGAUCAGCCACACUGGGACUGGGAAACGGCCCAGACUCCUACGGGAGGCAGCAGUGGGGAAUUUUGGACAAUGGGCGCAAGCCUGAUCCAGCAAUGCCGCGUGCAGGAUGAAGGCCUUCGGGUUGUAGACUGCUUUUGUACGGAACGAAAAGCCCCGGGUUAAUACCCUGGGGUCAUGACGGUACCGUAAGAAUAAGCACCGGCUAACUACGUGCCAGCCGCCGCCGUAA